GCCUUUAGUCUGAUUUUUGCCAUAUGCUGAUCUUGGGAGCUAAAUAGGUUGGCUUGUACUUGGAUGAGAGACCACCUGAAAAUACCAGAAGCUGUAGGCU
Molecule: ribosomal RNA, 100 nt
Filed under: Salvator merianae (Argentine black and white tegu)
Lineage: Eukaryota; Metazoa; Chordata; Lepidosauria; Squamata; Teiidae
Source: RNAcentral